GCUUACGGCCAUACCAGCCUAAAUACACCCGAUCUUGUCAGAUCUCGAAAGCUAAGCAGGGUCGGGCCUGGAUAGUACUUGGAUGGGAGACUGCCAGGGAAUACCAGGUGCUGUAAGCA
Molecule: ribosomal RNA, 119 nt
Filed under: Hucho hucho (huchen)
Lineage: Eukaryota; Metazoa; Chordata; Actinopteri; Salmoniformes; Salmonidae
Source: RNAcentral